RNAcentral lists this ribosomal RNA (231 nucleotides) under Serratia marcescens. Its description in RNAcentral is "partial 16S ribosomal RNA". It matches the Rfam family "Bacterial small subunit ribosomal RNA", at positions 1 to 227 of the family's 1533-position model. The record is from RNAcentral. Lineage: Bacteria; Pseudomonadati; Pseudomonadota; Gammaproteobacteria; Enterobacterales; Yersiniaceae.
UUAAUUGAAGAGUUUGAUCAUGGCUCAGAUUGAACGCUGGCGGCAGGCUUAACACAUGCAAGUCGAGCGGUAGCACAGGGGAGCUUGCUCCCUGGGUGACGAGCGGCGGACGGGUGAGUAAUGUCUGGGAAACUGCCUGAUGGAGGGGGAUAACUACUGGAAACGGUAGCUAAUACCGCAUAACGUCGCAAGACCAAAGAGGGGGACCUUCGGGCCUCUUGCCAUCAGAUG